UUGGUCUCUACUCGUCGAAAAAACUAAAAUUAAAAGAAAUUAAAUUAAGUGGAAAAAUCGGAAGCUUUCAUUAAUGAAAAUAAAGUCUUAAGAAAUUCACGUCAUCAUUCGAUAGAUAUAGUCUAAACGGUCGAAAAUCUAGGUGAUACUGAAUAGUGUUUUAACCUCUAAAUCAGGGUUUUAACCUCUAAAUCAGCACAUGCUCAAGGGUUGAGGAGAAAUUUCUCGAUUUAUCUCCAGAUAAACAUGCAGGAUCCUUACCGAAUUGACGGAUUGAAUUUGAAUCCUUCUUCUAUUGAAUGAUAGAGGUUUCGUGGAUAAAUUCCUUCGUGAUUUGAUUGACAGCGGUCGCGUGAUAAACACUGAUAAUGAAAUUGAAAUAUUCUAUCGUUCUAUCGAUGGGAUUUCUUAUGAGCCUGUGAGCUUGAUGGCUUGAAAUCGAAGGAGGAACAAUGACAAAACUCAACUGAGCUCGACUGAUUUGUCAGUGUGAUUUUACAAAUCUAAGAAUGAAUAUAUCCUAACAUUACAAAUCUAACA
Diachasma alloeum is the source of this 540-nucleotide long non-coding RNA. RefSeq lists it as uncharacterized. Lineage: Eukaryota; Metazoa; Arthropoda; Insecta; Hymenoptera; Braconidae. The record is from RefSeq and is a predicted model, not a curated record. The transcript has 4 exons.